RNAcentral lists this ribosomal RNA (497 nucleotides) under uncultured bacterium. Its description in RNAcentral is "partial 16S ribosomal RNA". It matches the Rfam family "Bacterial small subunit ribosomal RNA", at positions 28 to 507 of the family's 1533-position model. The record is from RNAcentral.
GAUGAACGCUGGCGGCGUGCCUAAUACAUGCAAGUCGAGCGAACAGACGAGGAGCUUGCUCCUCUGACGUUAGCGGCGGACGGGUGAGUAACACGUGGAUAACCUACCUAUAAGUCUGGGAUAACUUCGGGAAACCGGAGCUACUACCGGCUAAUAUAUUGAACCGCUUGGUUCAAUAGUGAAAGACGGCUUUGCUGUCACUUAUAGAUGGAUCCGCGCCGCAUUAGCUAGUUGGUAAGGUAACGGCUUACCAAGGCAACGAUGCGUAGCCGACCUGAGAGGGUGAUCGGCCACACUGGAACUGAGACACGGUCCAGACUCCUACGGGAGGCAGCAGUAGGGAAUCUUCCGCAAUGGGCGAAAGCCUGACGGAGCAACGCCGCGUGAGUGAUGAAGGUCUUCGGAUCGUAAAACUCUGUUAUUAGGGAAGAACAAAUGUGUAAGUAACUAUGCACGUCUUGACGGUACCUAAUCAGAAAGCCACGGCUAACUACGUG